UCUCGUCUCCCAGGCCGCCCCCCCCCCCCGCACCUCGGCUCCCAGGCCCGCAGGCCUUGGGCCGCUGCUGUUCUCGGCUUGGGAGGAUUUUAAGACGUUAACCCUUACUGCACCAAGCCGGCAAAGCACAAAACGGGGGCGGGGCUCCACACGCGUGCGUGUUUCUACACGCACUUCUCUCACGUGGAUCCGCUUUAAGGGGGCCGUGGGGGGCAAGCGGAAGUGCCCAAGAAAGCCCGGCCGGCACCCGAGGCGGCUCCUGGGUCCUUUGGGAGGGACGAGCGUUCGGGGCCCAAGGCGUGUGCGGGCGGACGGGCCCACACGUGUCCUACGAGCCCACAGCGCCCCGUGACCUGUUAAUGCGCACCCGUGGGCCCGGGCUCGCAGGGAUCGUGCUUGCGGACCCGCAUCCACACGUGUGGGUGCCCAGCGCGGCGCCCGCGCGCACGUGCCCGCUGACCCCAGAGCGCCCUCUCACACCGGACUUCCUCCCAGAGCCGAGGCGGGGCAGGGGCAGCAAGGAAGUCCCCACAGCGCCGGGAGGGGGGGGCGCAGGGACAGGUCCUCCAGGAAGGCUGGCCUUCCCCGCAGCGGUUAGUGUGGACUUUCCCCUCGCGAUUGCCGGGUCCUCCUGACCGGAUGGCAAAUCUGGGGAAAGGAGGGCGGCCUCGGAGACCCUCCCGCGCGCAGGAGAGCCUUGUUCCCUGCUGAAAAGUGCACCGGAGGGCGCCCCCCCCCGGGGGGAUAUGAAGGACCUGCCCCUCGCUGCGCCGGCUCACAGACCUCCAUGUGGCCUGUAGGGGGCCCCCUUCCCAGACUCAGGCCCCGGGCUCCCGCCAGUCUCCCGUCCCGCGCGCACCUCCUUGCCUUGGGGCUCAGCGCUCAGGCCCAGGGGGGGGCGCCUUGGCUGCCGGGCCUCCCUGCGGGGGAGGGGCGUCUCCCCGAGGGACACAAAGCCUCGGGCCUGUCCCAGGCCCCCUCUGGGCCCCCUUCUGGCCCUGACUCUGCGAUCCCCUGAGGUCUCCCGAGGCAGCAGAGAGGAAGCGAGGGGGGAGGAGGGGAAACAGGAAGAGGAAGAGGAGGAGGGAAAGCAGAUGCAGAAGGGGGGAGAAGGAAGAGAAGGGGAAGGAGGAAGAGGAAAGGAAAAGGAAGAAGAGGAAAAAGGAGGAAGAGAAGGAAGAAGAGAAGGAGGAAGAAGCGGAGGAGAGGCCGGAUCUCAGCUCUCAAUCCCAAGAGCUCUCUGACUGCUCCCCCCAUUACCUUGGGGGGCAUCCCUUGUGCCAUCUUGGGAACCAGCCCAGAACAGGAGGAGAGUCGGCCUUGACCCGGGCAGGGUUGCUGUGCCCCCUCAGGCCGAGGCCCUCUCCCAGCCUUCAGCACCGCUUAACGCACCGUCCCCAUCUCUUAGUUCCGCUGCCCCGCUUUGGCCCUUGGGGGGCCACUCUGACCGGCCCGACGGAGGGCAGGGCGGGGGAGGAGAGCUCCCGGGACAAGGGCUCCGUCGGAUGAGCCGGCCCAGCCAGAGUGGCCUCCCCUCCGGGAGGAAGCGUUCCCUGCCCCCAAGGUCCCUGCCAGCCGGACACCCUGUGACCUCCCAUGCAUAAACCUCAGAAAAGCAAACGAGAGACAGCUCCUUGACGUUCAUGGUCUUGUUCCUCAAGUACAAGGUCAAGCGACUUCUGCCUCAGUUUCCUUGUCCGUGACCAGAGGAGCCUCGACGGCCACAGGAAGGACUGGGCGCAGCUCGUCUCCUCGGCCUCUCCAGGCAGAUUCCGGCCUCGGCGGGAGGAGUUUGAGCCCUUCCUGCCGAGCGAUCGUUCGUCCGGUCCGAGGAGCCCGCGGACGGCUGUUUCCCAGAUGGGAGGGCUGGUCGGAGUCUCUAGAGACCCCGCGAUGGAGCAGUGGGAGACUCGGGCUCCCGCUGACUGCUGUGGACGAGGGGGGAGCAGGGAGGGUUUGUUGGGAAAAGCAGGUGAGCAAUGGCGGGCUGGGUCAUUGUCCCAGCAUGGGUGGCCCCGGGCGCGCUGUCCCGGCUGGGCUGCGGGGGCCGUGCUGGGAACCCCGGCUUCUGGAGGUGGGCAGCGCGCGGCGGCUCCCGAUGGCCCUGGGUCUCCCCUGGGAAGCCAUCCUCGUCGCCCAGCCCCGGACCGGGGGCUUGGAUUCAUGGCAGGGCCACGUCACACAGACAGGCUGCUUCAGACCCAACUUUUUAAAUCAAAUUCGCUGGUUAAACGCCCCCCUUCUCCCCAGCGUGGGCCACCUUCGGUUUGAGGGCUCCCCCUUCCCACCGCGUGUAGACUUUGUCUCCGACCUCCCCCAUCCUCCAGGUCUGGAUCCAGCUCUCCCUGACCUUGGGCUCAGUGCCCCCCUCCACCGCACCCAGGACCCUCCCACCCAAAUCACGCCACCUCAUUUAUUCUCUGGCUUUGGGUGCAGUGCCAGGAACACAGUAAGUGCUUAAUAAAGGACUGAUGGCCCGACAGGCCUGCCCAGUGACCUCUCUGGAUCCUUUGCCUCCCGGAGAGUCAUUUCUGGGCCUAAUUUCAAAUAAUUAGUGCCAUGCCGGGAACCUCAGGGGAGCCCUGCCCACUGACAGUCUCUUACUCUGCAUCUUACACUGAGAAUCAGAACACAGCCGUGCUCAGAAGGGAGGCCCCGAGUUCUCCGAGAAGCCCCAAGUUCUCCGAGAGGCCCCGAGUUCUCCGAGAAGGGAAGCCCCGAGUUCUCCGAGAAGGGAAGCCCCGAGUUCUCCGAGAAGGGAAGCCCCGAGUUCUCUGAGAAGGGAAGCCCCGAGUUCUCCGAGAAGAGAAGCCCCGAGUUCUCCGAGAAGAAAAGCCCCGAGUUCUCCGAGAAGAGAAGCCCCGAGUUCUCCGAGAAGAGAAGCCCCGAGUUCUCCGAGAAGAAAAGCCCCGAGUUCUCUGAGAAGGGAAGCCCCGAGUUCUCUGAGAAGGGAAGCCCCGAGUUCUCCGAGAAGAGAAGCCCCGAGUUCUCCGAGAAGAAAAGCCCCGAGUUCUCCGAGAAGAAAAGCCCCGAGUUCUCCAGGAAGCCCCGAGUUCUCCGAGAAGGGAAGCCCCGAGUUCUCCGAGAAGGGAAGCCCCGAGUUCUCCGAGAAGCCCUGAGUUCUCUGAGAAGGGAAGCCCCGAGUUCUCUGAGAAGGGAAGCCCCGAGUUCUCCGAGAAGGGAAGCCCCGAGUUCUCCGAGAAGAGAAGCCCCGAGUUCUCCGAGAAGGGAAGCCCCGAGUUCUCCGAGAAGGGAAGCCCCGAGUUCUCCGAGAAGGGAAGCCCCGAGUUCUCCGAGAAGCCCCGAGUUCUCUGAGAAGGGAAGCCCCGAGUUCUCCGAGAAGGGAAGCCCCGAGUUCUCCGAGAAGCCCCGAGUUCUCCGAGAAG
Molecule: long non-coding RNA, 3386 nt
Organism: Antechinus flavipes (yellow-footed antechinus)
Lineage: Eukaryota; Metazoa; Chordata; Mammalia; Dasyuromorphia; Dasyuridae
Exons: 2
Source: RefSeq, a predicted model, not a curated record